This 460-nucleotide ribosomal RNA is filed under the name uncultured bacterium. RNAcentral's name for it is "partial 16S ribosomal RNA". It matches the Rfam family "Bacterial small subunit ribosomal RNA", at positions 338 to 795 of the family's 1533-position model. The record is from RNAcentral.
CCUACGGGCGGCAGCAGUGAGGAAUAUUGGUCAAUGGGCGCGAGCCUGAACCAGCCAAGUAGCGUGAAGGAAGACUGCCCUACGGGUUGUAAACUUCUUUUAUAAAGGAAUAAAGUGAGGCACGUGUGCCUUUUUGCAUGUACUCUAUGAAUAAGGAUCGGCUAACUCCGUGCCAGCAGCCGCGGUAAUACGGAGGAUCCGAGCGUUAUCCGGAUUUAUUGGGUUUAAAGGGAGCGUAGAUGGGUUGUUAAGUCAGUUGUGAAAGUUUGUGGCUCAACCGUAAAAUUGCAAUUGAUACUGGCAGUCUUGAGUGUGGUUGAGGUAGGCGGAAUUCGUGGUGUAGCGGUGAAAUGCUUAGAUAUCACGAAGAACUCCGAUUGCGAAGGCAGCUUACUAAGCUGCAACUGACAUUGAUGCUCGAAAGUGUGGGUAUCAAACAGGAUUAGAUACCCUUGUAGUC